GACAGAGGCCCCGAGCGUUAGGCGGAAUCACUGGGCUUAAAGCGUGUGUAGGCGGGCCCGUAAGUGUCUUGUGAAAUCCCACGGCUCAACCGUGGAACUGCUGGGCAUACUGCGGGUCUUGGGCCAACUAGGGGCGAGCGGAACAGACGGUGGAGCGGUGAAAUGCGUAGAUAUCGUCUGGAACGCCGAAGGUGAAAACAGCUCGCUGGGGCCGCGCUGACGCUGAGACACGAAAGCCAGGGGAGCGAACGGG
Molecule: ribosomal RNA, 253 nt
Filed under: uncultured bacterium
Lineage: Bacteria
Description: partial 16S ribosomal RNA
Rfam family: Bacterial small subunit ribosomal RNA
Source: RNAcentral